GAGUUUGAUCUUGGCUCAGGAUGAACGCUGGCGGCGUGCCUAAUACAUGCAAGUCGAGCGAACGGACGAGAAGCUUGCUUCUCUGAUGUUAGCGGCGGACGGGUGAGUAACACGUGGAUAACCUACCUAUAAGACUGGGAUAACUUCGGGAAACCGGAGCUAAUACCGGAUAAUAUUUUUGAACCGCAUGGUUCAAAAGUAAAAGACGGUCUUGCUGUCACUUAUAGAUGGAUCCGCGCUGCAUUAGCUAGUUGUAAGGUAACGGCUUACCAAGGCAACGAUGCAUAGCCGACCUGAGAGGGUGAUCGGCCACACUGGAACUGAGACACGGUCCAGACUCCUACGGGAGGCAGCGGUAGGGAAUCGUUCCGCAAUGGGCGAAAGCCUGACGGAGCAACGCCGCGUGAGUGAUGAAGGUCUUCGGAUCGUAAAACUCUGUUAUUAGGGAAGGACAUAUGUGU
Molecule: ribosomal RNA, 461 nt
Filed under: uncultured microorganism
Description: bacterial SSU rRNA
Rfam family: Bacterial small subunit ribosomal RNA
Source: RNAcentral